Molecule: ribosomal RNA, 253 nt
Filed under: uncultured bacterium
Lineage: Bacteria
Description: partial 16S ribosomal RNA
Rfam family: Bacterial small subunit ribosomal RNA
Source: RNAcentral
UACGUAGGGUGCAAGCGUUAAUCGGAAUUACUGGGCGUAAAGCGUGCGCAGGCGGUUCGCUAAGACAGAUGUGAAAUCCCCGGGCUUAACCUGGGAACUGCAUUUGUGACUGCAUAGCUAGAGUACGGUAGAGGGGGAUGGAAUUCCGCGUGUAGCAGUGAAAUGCGUAGAUAUGCGGAGGAACACCGAUGGCGAAGGCAAUCCCCUGGACCUGUACUGACGCUCAUGCACGAAAGCGUGGGGAGCAAACAGG